GACGAACGCUGGCGGCGUGCUUAACACAUGCAAGUCGAACGGAAAGGCCCUGCUUUUGUGGGGUGCUCGAGUGGCGAACGGGUGAGUAACACGUGAGUAACCUGCCCUUGACUUUGGGAUAACUUCAGGAAACUGGGGCUAAUACCGGAUAGGAUCUCCUGCUGCAUGGUGUGGGUUGGAAAGUUUCGGCGGUUGGGGAUGGACUCGCGGCUUAUCAGCUUGUUUGUGGGGUAGUGGCUUACCAAGGCUUUGACGGGUAGCCGGCCUGAGAGGGUGACCGGCCACAUUGGGACUGAGAUACGGACCAGACUCCUACGGGAGGCAGCAGUGGGGAAUAUUGCACAAUGGGCGGAAGCCUGAUGCAGCAACGCCGCGUGCGGGAUGCCGGCCUUCGGGUUGUAAACCGCUUUCGCCUGUGACGAAGAGUGAGUGACGGUAAUGGGUAAAGAAGCACCGGCUAACUACGUG
Molecule: ribosomal RNA, 468 nt
Filed under: uncultured bacterium
Lineage: Bacteria
Description: partial 16S ribosomal RNA
Rfam family: Bacterial small subunit ribosomal RNA
Source: RNAcentral